UAAUCGAUGGGGGGACGCAGUAGGAUAGGCGAAGCGUGCGAUUGGAUUGCACGUCUAAGCAGUAAGGCUGAGUAUUAGGCAAAUCCGGUACUCGUUAAGGCUGAGCUGUGAUGGGGAGAAGACAUUGUGUCUUCGAGUCGUUGAUUUCACACUGCCGAGAAAAGCCUCUAGAUAGAAAAUAGGUGCCCGUACCGCAAACCGACACAGGUAGUCAAGAUGAGAAUUCUAAGGUGAGCGAGCGAACUCUCGUUAAGGAACUCGGCAAAAUGACCCCGUAACUUCGGGAGAAGGGGUGCUCUUUAGGGUUAACGCCCAGAAGAGCCGCAGUGAAUAGGCCCAAGCGACUGUUUAUCAAAAACACAGGUCUCUGCUAA
This 374-nucleotide ribosomal RNA is filed under the name Staphylococcus aureus. Its description in RNAcentral is "partial 23S ribosomal RNA". It matches the Rfam family "Bacterial large subunit ribosomal RNA", at positions 1458 to 1829 of the family's 2925-position model. The record is from RNAcentral. Lineage: Bacteria; Bacillati; Bacillota; Bacilli; Caryophanales; Staphylococcaceae.